This 107-nucleotide non-coding RNA is filed under the name Streptomonospora alba. RNAcentral's name for it is "TPP sequence". It matches the Rfam family "TPP riboswitch aptamer (THI element)". Rfam says of the family: Vitamin B(1) in its active form thiamin pyrophosphate (TPP) is an essential coenzyme that is synthesised by coupling of pyrimidine and thiazole moieties in bacteria. The previously detected thiamin-regulatory element, thi box was extended, resulting in a new, highly conserved RNA secondary structure, the THI element, which is widely distributed in eubacteria and also occurs in some archaea. The record is from Rfam by way of RNAcentral. Lineage: Bacteria; Bacillati; Actinomycetota; Actinomycetes; Streptosporangiales; Nocardiopsidaceae.
UGAAACCGACAGGGGAGCGCUGAGGCGCUGAGAGUGCGGCCGCGACCGCAGACCCUCACACACCUGAUCUGGGUAAUGCCAGCGCAGGGAGUCGUGAACCCGUCCGC